RNAcentral lists this ribosomal RNA (437 nucleotides) under uncultured bacterium. RNAcentral's name for it is "bacterial SSU rRNA". It matches the Rfam family "Bacterial small subunit ribosomal RNA", at positions 958 to 1396 of the family's 1533-position model. The record is from RNAcentral.
AACGCGAAGAACCUUACCCAGGCUCGAAAUGCAGAUGACGAUACUAGAGAUAGUAUUUUCCGCAAGGACAUCUGUAUAGGUGCUGCAUGGCUGUCGUCAGCUCGUGCCGUGAGGUGUUGGGUUAAGUCCCGCAACGAGCGCAACCCUUAUCAUUAGUUGCCAACACGUAAGGUGGGGACUCUAAUGAGACUGCCUAGGUUAACUAGGAGGAAGGUGAGGAUGACGUCAAGUCCGCAUGGCCUUUAUGUCUGGGGCUACACACGUGCUACAAUGGUCGGUACAGAAGGCAGCAAGACCGCAAGGUGGAGCAAAUCCGUAAAGCCGACCUCAGUUCAGAUUGUAGUCUGCAACUCGACUACAUGAAGCCGGAAUUGCUAGUAAUGACGAGUCAGCAACAUCGUCGUGAAUACGUUCCCGGGCCUUGUACACACCGGCUA